AACGAACGCUGGCGGCAUGCCUAACACAUGCAAGUCGAACGAGACCUUCGGGUCUAGUGGCGCACGGGUGCGUAACGCGUGGGAACCUGCCCUUAGGUUCGGAAUAACUCCCCGAAAGGGGUGCUAAUACCGGAUAAUGUCUUCGGACCAAAGAUUUAUCGCCUUUGGAUGGGCCCGCGUUGGAUUAGCUAGUUGGUAGGGUAAAAGCCUACCAAGGCGACGAUCCAUAGCUGGUCUGAGAGGAUGAUCAGCCACACUGGGACUGAGACACGGCCCAGACUACUACGGGAGGCAGCAGUGGGGAAUAUUGGAAAAUGGGCGAAAGCCUGAUCAAGCAAUGCCGCGUGAGUGAUGAAGGCCUUAGGGUUGUAAAGCUCUUUUACACGGGAUGAUAAUGACAGUACCGGGAGAAUAAGCUCCGGCUAACUCCGUG
This 433-nucleotide ribosomal RNA is filed under the name uncultured bacterium. Its description in RNAcentral is "partial 16S ribosomal RNA". It matches the Rfam family "Bacterial small subunit ribosomal RNA", at positions 29 to 507 of the family's 1533-position model. The record is from RNAcentral.